This 1498-nucleotide long non-coding RNA is filed under the name Eptatretus burgeri (inshore hagfish). RNAcentral describes it as "lncRNA (ENSEBUG00000017113.1)". The record is from RNAcentral. Lineage: Eukaryota; Metazoa; Chordata; Myxini; Myxiniformes; Myxinidae.
CAGAGAUUGUGGAGCACACAGGGUCUUCAUCCGGACAUUGUUGUUUGACUCGCUCUCUUGAACUGUCUGGGACUCUACUGCACUGUACUGUACUCUCCUUGUACUGUACUGUACUCUACACUGUACUCUUCUCUGGUUUACUGUGUGCGAUGAACCGAGAUCUCUCCGGUGAGGAACACGAGGUGAACCCUCUGGGAUCCACGAGAAUCUCCGAUGGAAUGAACGGGGUGGGUCCGGGAGGAUCUCCCAUGGAUACGGAGUUUGGACCCGAUUUUAUUGUGGCUGUGAAGGUGGAAUCAGAUUUUCUUGACCAGUCCUCUUCACUCGACAAAGAUUUGAUUGUGAAAGUGAAGGUGGAAUCUGAGUUUGAGAAUGAUUCAACGUCUCAACAGAAAGAUGAAGUUCAAGUUGUGAAGUCAGAAACUUUCCAAAACAAUCUUCUUCACACUUCCCAGGAUGCUUUGAGCAAUGAUCAUGUAAAGCGGGAAGCAUGUGAUUCUCCACCCACGGAGCGAAGCAAAGCUGCUCAGCUGCUCGUUCUGCCUCCUGAAACCCCUCUCUGCAUCAACCUGGACAUUGGAGGACCCAUAACUAUUUGAACCCAUGUCACCAACGAUGUAAAUUCCUUGUGGCCAAGCAGAAGUCUGUACAACUCUGACAUGAACAGUAUGUUUCUCCUUAAACUCUUCACUAGUAACAUGUUUUAACUGAGGACAUUCAUGCUGUGCGACUGUUUGUGAAACCUGGAAACUCGGAGUAGUCAUCACUCUUGUAUUUGGUUUGUCCGACACCAAAACGAUGAUAAUUUACAUUCUCAGGGUCAACAUGUGUGGGUUUAACACUGGGUUGAAGAUGGUUGAAAAUUCUUUGAACACUUUUUUACCUGCCGCAUGUUGCAAGUCUGCGAGUGCAGUUGUUGGUGGUGUUGUUCUUGUUGGGAGUCAAUUUUUGAAAUCUUGUACCCAUUGGUUGGAUAUCUGCCAGACCACACCCACAUCUGUCACUUGACUCCACCCACCAUAGCACUCAUACAAAAUGAUAUGGCCAACAUCUUGGUUUUCCGGUGGGUCUAACACAUUCGGCCUGUAGGCAUCUGCUGAUUAUUCACUCCAUGGUUUUGUUGCGUCAAAUUUCCAGUGGCUUUGUUAUUAUUCCUUUUUGAAAAACCUGCUUUUCAUGUUUUUGACGAUGUUUAUAAAUGUUUUUAUCGUAGUUUUUCACCUCGUUUCCGAUUUUCUGUGCCUCCUUGAUAAGGUGCCACUCUAUCUCAGAGGUUGGUGAUUCCACAAUGUUUGGUUGUAUUUUCUCCAACUUGGUAAAGUGAGGUUAAAGCGAGUGGAGUAACCUCUUUCACUCAAUCUGUUUGUUUAUUAUUCCACAGUUCAGACAUUCUUAUUGAAAUAUCUGUGACAUGGUAGAAAUCUGUGACAUCACAUGUGCCCCGAAGGAUGUCACACGGAUGAAUUUGUAACUCCUUGUGAAUUUAAGUAAUCCUGAU